RNAcentral lists this ribosomal RNA (437 nucleotides) under Nitrososphaerota archaeon. Its description in RNAcentral is "partial 23S ribosomal RNA". It matches the Rfam family "Archaeal large subunit ribosomal RNA", at positions 2591 to 2987 of the family's 2987-position model. The record is from RNAcentral. Lineage: Archaea; Thermoproteati; Nitrososphaerota.
AGUUGCGAUGUCGGCUCUUCCCAUCCUGGUCCUGCAGCAGGGGCCAAGGGUGGGGCUGCUCGCCCAUCAAAGGGGAACGUGAGCUGGGUUUAGACCGUCGUGAGACAGGUCGGCCUCUACCUGAUGGAAGCGGUGGUUCACUGAGGGGAAGCCCUGCCCAGUACGAGAGGAACAGCGGGGCGUUGCCUCUGGCGUACCGGUCGUCCGAGAGGGCGUCGCCGGGCAGCUAAGCAAUUGUGGAUAACCGCUGAAAGCAUCUAAGCGGGAAGCCACUCCCGAGAAGAGUGAACCUUAGGCCUUAACCCCUGCAGCAAUGUGGGGGAGCGGGCCUUGGAGGGGAGCGAUAGAAGAUCGCGUUGAAGUGGUGGGGGUGUACGCUGGAAGCUUCGGCGACCAGUUCAGCCCGUCCACUAACUAUACCCCAACGCAGGAUGAGU